GGAGUGAGGGCAGAGGUGGACUGUGCUGAAUGGUGGCUGACUAGAGGUGCCCAAGAAGGUAGGAGUGAGGACAGAGGUGGACUGUGCUGAAUGGUGGCUGACUAGAGGUGCCCAAGAAGGUAGGAGUGAGGGCAGAGGUGGAGCUCUGAGUCCAGGGCUUGGGCAACAGCAUCGAUGAAGGCAUGUGUUUCCUGGUGAAAACAUGAUAUGGGGACAGUUUUGGGCCCCAGAAGCAUGUUGAGAUGGCGCACAGAGAACGAGACAGGAUAGCUAUGAAUCAUCUGAUAAGACUCACAAGGGUGCACUAAAAAGAAUCUGAGAUUCAUAAUGUGGUACGAUUCCUAGAAGUUAAACUGAAUGUCUCAGCUAGUCUAAAUAGUGUUUGGUUUUGUUGUUCUGAUCUCUGCCUGAAGGGAGGGACUUCAACGAUACCGAUGCCUGUGAACGAGACCCUGUCAUUGUCAACCAUUAAGACCAUUAAAGGCGUGGGAAAGGAAAAAGUAGAAAUGAUUGUCUCUAGGGUUAAAAAAAAAAAAGCCUUUUUCCUGGGAAUAUCAAUAGUUAAUAAACCACGGAUCUAAAUAUCAGGCAGUGUGUGCUCUGUGCGAGAAGGAGAAAAUUUCACAGGUUGUGGACUAGACAAAUUAACAGUUCUCCUCUGUCAGCACCUAAAAUCUAUACCAUGGCUUCUCUCUAUGGUAUGAGGCAAAACGUGCCAACAAAUUGGCUUAGAUGAUCUCUCUGGAAAUGUGGAAGAAAUUAUAUACUGGAGAGAAAGGGGGAAAUUCUUGUAAGUGUUGACAAC
Alexandromys fortis (reed vole) is the source of this 805-nucleotide long non-coding RNA. RefSeq lists it as uncharacterized. NCBI's taxonomy places the organism in Eukaryota, Metazoa, Chordata, Mammalia, Rodentia, Cricetidae. The transcript has 3 exons. The record is from RefSeq and is a predicted model, not a curated record.